AGUGAACGCUGGCGGUAGGCCUAACACAUGCAGGUCGAACGGCAGCACAGUAAGAGCUUGCUCUUACGGGUGGCGAGUGGCGGACGGGUGAGGAAUACAUCGGAAUCUACUUUUUCGUGGGGGAUAACGUAGGGAAACUUACGCUAAUACCGCAUACGACCUACGGGUGAAAGCAGGGGAUCUUCGGACCUUGCGCGAUUGAAUGAGCCGAUGUCGGAUUAGCUAGUUGGCGGGGUAAAGGCCCACCAAGGCGACGAUCCGUAGCUGGUCUGAGAGGAUGAUCGGCCACACUGGAACUGAGACACGGUCCAGACUCCUACGGGAGGCAGCAGUGGGGAAUAUUGGACAAUGGGCGCAAGCCUGAUCCAGCCAUCCCGCGUGGGUGAAGAAGGCCUUCGGGUUGUAAAGCCCUUUUGUUGGGAAAGAAAAGCAGCAGGUUAAUACCCCGCUGUUCUGACGGUACCCAAAGAAUAAGCACCGGCUAACUUCGUG
Molecule: ribosomal RNA, 492 nt
Filed under: uncultured bacterium
Lineage: Bacteria
Description: partial 16S ribosomal RNA
Rfam family: Bacterial small subunit ribosomal RNA
Source: RNAcentral